CCUACGGGUGGCAGCAGUGGGGAAUAUUGCACAAUGGGGGAAACCCUGAUGCAGCGACGCCGCGUGGGUGAAGAAGUACUUCGGUAUGUAAAGCUCUGUCAGCAGGGAAGAAGGUGACAGUACCUGACCAAGAAGCCCCGGCUAAUUACGUGCCAGCAGCCGCGGUAAUACGCAGGGGGCAAGCGUUAUCCGGAUUUACUGGGGGUAAAGGGAGCGUAGACGGGUUGGCAAGUCAGGAGUGAAAGCCCGGGGCCCAACCACGGGACUGCUUUGGAAACUGUGAGACUGGAGUGCAGGAGGGGUAGGCGGAAUUCCUGGUGUAGCGGUGAAAUGCGUAGAUAUUAGGAGGAACACCGGUGGCGAAGGCGGCUUACUGGACUGUAACUGACGUUGAGGCUCGAAAGCGUGGGGAGCAAACAGGAUUAGAUACCCGAGUAGUC
RNAcentral lists this ribosomal RNA (440 nucleotides) under uncultured bacterium. RNAcentral's name for it is "partial 16S ribosomal RNA". It matches the Rfam family "Bacterial small subunit ribosomal RNA", at positions 338 to 795 of the family's 1533-position model. The record is from RNAcentral.